CGGACGGGUGAGUAACGCGUGGGUAACCUGCCUUGUACUGGGGGACAACAGUUAGAAAUGACUGCUAAUACCGCAUAAGCGCACAGUAUCGCAUGAUACAGUGUGAAAAACUCCGGUGGUACAAGAUGGACCCGCGUCUGAUUAGCUAGUUGGUAAGGUAACGGCUUACCAAGGCGACGAUCAGUAGCCGACCUGAGAGGGUGACCGGCCACAUUGGGACUGAGACACGGUCCAA
Molecule: ribosomal RNA, 235 nt
Filed under: uncultured bacterium
Lineage: Bacteria
Description: partial 16S ribosomal RNA
Rfam family: Bacterial small subunit ribosomal RNA
Source: RNAcentral